RNAcentral lists this ribosomal RNA (405 nucleotides) under uncultured bacterium. Its description in RNAcentral is "bacterial SSU rRNA". It matches the Rfam family "Bacterial small subunit ribosomal RNA", at positions 355 to 774 of the family's 1533-position model. The record is from RNAcentral.
UGGGGAAUAUUGGGCAAUGGGCGAAAGCCUGACCCAGCAACGCCGCGUGAGGGAAGAAGGUUUUCGGAUUGUAAACCUCUGUCGCAGAUGACGAAGAAAGUGACGGUAAUCUGUGAGGAAGCCCCGGCUAACUACGUGCCAGCAGCCGCGGUAAUACGUAGGGGGCGAGCGUUGUCCGGAAUUACUGGGCGUAAAGGGUGCGUAGGCGGUUCUUUAAGUUGGAUGUGAAAUACCCGGGCUCAACCUGGGUGCUGCAUUUCAAACUGGAAGUCUAGAGUGCAGGAGAGGAGAGUGGAAUUCCUAGUGUAGCGGUGAAAUGCGUAGAGAUUAGGAAGAACACCAGUGGCGAAGGCGACUCUCUGGACUGUAACUGACGCUGAGGCUCGAAAGCGUGGGGAGCAAACA